This 471-nucleotide ribosomal RNA is filed under the name uncultured organism. Its description in RNAcentral is "partial 16S ribosomal RNA". It matches the Rfam family "Bacterial small subunit ribosomal RNA", at positions 334 to 797 of the family's 1533-position model. The record is from RNAcentral.
CACUCCUGCGGGAGGCAGCAGUGGGGAAUUUUGGACAAUGGGCGAAAGCCUGAUCCAGCCAUGCCGCGUGCAGGAUGAAGGCCUUCGGGUUGUAAACUGCUUUUGUACGGAACGAAACGGCCUUUUCUAAUAAAGAGGGCUAAUGACGGUACCGUAAGAAUAAGCACCGGCUAACUACGUGCCAGCCGCCGCGGUAAUACGUAGGGUGCAAGCGUUAAUCGGAAUUACUGGGCGUAAAGCGUGCGCAGGCGGUUAUGUAAGAGAGUUGUGAAAUCCCCGGGCUCAACCUGGGAACUGCAUCUGUGACUGCAUAGCUAGAGUACGGUAGAGGGGGAUGGAAUUCCGCGUGUAGCAGUGAAAUGCGUAGAUAUGCGGAGGAACACCGAUGGCGAAGGCAAUCCCCUGGACCUGUACUGACGCUCAUGCACGAAAGCGUGGGGAGCAAACAGGAUUAGAAACCCGUGUAGUCCC